CGAAUGUUCCUCAGCCUGAGAAAGAGAAAGCAGCAUUUUAUGGAGGAAGACAAAAAUGAUGGAAAGCUUACCAGCCUGCUUCGUUUACUACAGGAUUGGUGGCAGACUAGAGGACCUUUCCAGGAGCUGAUAAAUAAGGUUCUCCUAUUUAGGGUGGAAAAAUGAAAUACUGACAACCCUCUGCCAUAAGAAAUAAGCUACGAAAUGUUUAUCUCCGUAUUAUCCAACAAUAAUUAUUGCAAUGUAACUAGAAUAAUUUUCUUCAAAAGCCAUUCAAGGUAGCCAGGAGCUCUUGCCCUGGUCACUG
Tyto alba (common barn owl) is the source of this 307-nucleotide long non-coding RNA. RefSeq lists it as uncharacterized. The transcript has 3 exons. The record is from RefSeq and is a predicted model, not a curated record. Lineage: Eukaryota; Metazoa; Chordata; Aves; Strigiformes; Tytonidae.